This is a long non-coding RNA of Trichoplusia ni (cabbage looper), 1818 nucleotides long. RefSeq lists it as uncharacterized. Lineage: Eukaryota; Metazoa; Arthropoda; Insecta; Lepidoptera; Noctuidae. The transcript has 2 exons. The record is from RefSeq and is a predicted model, not a curated record.
UCGAAAAUAAUCCUAUGGGAACAAUGAAGUCGAAAUAAAAGCUAUUCUACGUAUUAAUCCAGGGCUUUUCGUCCACAUCCGUUCAGUGGUUUCUGCGUUUAAGAGUAACAAACACCUAUCCAAAGUUACACACUGUCGCAUUUAUAAUAUUAGUAGUUACUAUCUCCAAGAGCAUCCUAAAGGUACCUGUGCGAUAUGACAGCCUAUCAUAAUUACAAAGAUAACCAGAGCUACAAGUAGGUAGUUUAUAUUUCAGGUGGAUCUGAUAACUCUAUGAUGAUGUCACCUAAAAUAUUGCAAAUUGUCAUGAUAAUAUUGAGAAUCAUUGACCCUUACCCACCGCAUGAACAUGCCAAUUUUGUACAAUCUUAAUAGGUCAAUUUUAUUUUGUUGUUGCGAAAUAUGUCUUAAAGAUAUUACUGUAUAUUAGCAUGAUCUUGAACAUUAUCCAUUCUAUGAUUGAUUCUCAGAAAUAAAUCUAGUUAUUCAUAAAAAUGCAUAAAUGGGUCUCAACCAUGGUUUGAAGUCGUCGUUAUUUGGAAAGAUGUUUUUUUGGGGACUAUCUAGGUACUUCCGGAGAAAUUGUGAUUUCUAAAUUAAUGGAAUUUAAUAUUCUUCAGUUAUAAUGUAUUGCACCAUAACAUUACAGUCUAACAUGCACUGUAUACGUGUAAAUUAAAAACGGUGUGACGAAUAUCUUUAUACAUAUAAUUAUGUGGUUUUUUGAAACGACUUACAAAACGCAAGUCAUAAAAUAUGUUAUCUUAAUCAAACAUUUGUAUCACAAAAGUAAUGAGUGCGCAAACGGCGAUCUUAAGUAAAAAUAAAAAAUCGUUUAGUAGCCUUGACUUUACAAAGUGCGUCUAAAUAUAUAUUCACACUAGUGUGACUCAUCAGUUGGCAUACAGUCAACCGCAUGCGGGGAUAAAUGUUUUGCGUGAACACUGCUUUAACAGCUAAGCAAAAAGGUCAAUUCUCCAUGAUAGAAACAACAAGAGGGGCAAAGCUACUCCGGUAUGACGGCUACACUUUCUGGAGGGCUACUCGCUCCAACUACUCAGAGAUCUGGUACUGCUCCUCGAAAGCUGGUGGAUGCAGGGCAUCCGUGAAGUACGACGGAAUGAACAUGCUUGUCGCGGAACCAAGCCAUAAUCAUGAUAGACCCACCAUGAUAAGGGGAAUGGAUGGGAAAUACAUCAAGCUAAAGUAGUUGAGGGUUUAUGUGAACCUCCUUGCUGGUCUGCUGGUGUUGUUACCUUUGAAAAUUCUCAGGUGUACCUCCUCACGAUGUUGCUACCCCAUUUUUGCAAAUGGCAAUUACUUUUUAAUACGAAUAUGAAAUUGAAAAGACAUUGAUGCGUGCUGGUUUUCAAUCCUACGAUCUUGAUUAGGUCGAACGGUCUUAAUAAAAUUAUGAAAUGAAUAUUGUUGUUGAGCAUCAUUUAGGCUCUUCGUAAACGUGCAUCACAACGAGAGUCAAUUUGUUGGUUCUUGAUGGGACAUCAACUUCAGAUAAAAUGGAAACUUCUUUGCAUUAUAAUUAAUUUAGUGACUUAAUGGUAUUGUAUUUUCUUGUGACUGUAUUUAAUAAGAUGUAAUAUUAUUAUUUGUAGAGAGGGUUAUUAUUAGCACAUAAACAUUGGCAAAGUGAAAACAUUAAAAAAAGACACGGGGUUUUUUUGUGUAUUUUUUAGAUCUUAACGAAUUUGCGAGAAGUAUUAUUUCAUUAUUACAAUCCAGUUCACUGCACAUGGGUAUGUAUGCAAAAUAAAGUUAUAUGUUUAACGAAAACUUGUCAAUACAGUAUUAUUGUCUUAA